Molecule: ribosomal RNA, 402 nt
Filed under: uncultured eukaryote
Lineage: Eukaryota
Description: bacterial SSU rRNA
Rfam family: Eukaryotic small subunit ribosomal RNA
Source: RNAcentral
CAAUAGCGUAUUUUAAAAUUGUUGCGGUUAAAAGCUCGUAGUUGUAUUCCUACACAUAUAAUUGACUCAUGUUAAUUAAAUGUGUAUUUUGCACGGGGUAGUAAAUGCCUUUUAUUGGGCUAUUACAAUACUGCGUGCUCCUUUACCUUGAGGAAAUUAGAGUGUUCCAGGCAAGCAUGGUUUUGUAUACAAUAGCAUGGGAUAAUGUGUAAUGGUUUCGGCCGAAAGCGUGUGUGACGGCCGAAGCAAUUGUUAAAAGGGGUAUCUGGGGGCAUUCGUAUUGAGCUGUCAGAGGUGAAAUUCUUAGAUUUUCUUAAGACGAACAAGUGCGAAAGCAUUUGCCAAAGAUGUUUUCAUUGAUCAAGAACGAAAGUUAGGGGAUCGAAGAUGAUCAGAUACCAU